RNAcentral lists this ribosomal RNA (575 nucleotides) under uncultured fungus. RNAcentral describes it as "eukaryotic LSU rRNA". The stretch from base 216 to 369 matches the Rfam family "5.8S ribosomal RNA". The record is from RNAcentral. Lineage: Eukaryota; Fungi.
UUGGUCAUUUAGAGGAAGUAAAAGUCGUAACAAGGUCUCCGUAGGUGAACCAGCGGAGGGAUCAUUACCGAGUUUACAACUCCCAAACCCCUGUGAACAUACCAAUUGUUGCCUCGGCGGAUCAGCCCGCUCCCGGUAAAACGGGACGGCCCGCCAGAGGACCCCUAAACUCUGUUUCUAUAUGUAACUUCUGAGUAAAACCAUAAAUAAAUCAAAACUUUCAACAACGGAUCUCUUGGUUCUGGCAUCGAUGAAGAACGCAGCAAAAUGCGAUAAGUAAUGUGAAUUGCAGAAUUCAGUGAAUCAUCGAAUCUUUGAACGCACAUUGCGCCCGCCAGUAUUCUGGCGGGCAUGCCUGUUCGAGCGUCAUUUCAACCCUCAAGCUCAGCUUGGUGUUGGGACUCGCGGUAACCCGCGUUCCCCAAAUCGAUUGGCGGUCACGUCAAGCUUCCAUAGCGUAGUAAUCAUACACCUCGUUACUGGUAAUCGUCGCGGCCACGCCGUUAAACCCCAACUUCUGAAUGUUGACCUCGGAUCAGGUAGGAAUACCCGCUGAACUUAAGCAUAUCAAUAAG